GCUUGUCUCAAAGAUUAAGCCAUGCAUGUCUUAGUGUAAAUAACUCUUAUGAAACUGCGAAUGGCUCAUUAAAUCAGUUAUCAAAUACGUGAUGGUCGCCUACUACAUGGAUAACCGUAGUAAUUCUAGAGCUAAUACAUGCACAAAGGCCCACUCACGUGGGUUGUGAUUAUUAGAUUCAAACCGGCCUCGUUCUGGUGAUUCAUAAUAAUUGGUCGAACCGCAUGCCCUUGUGGUGGCGGUGAUUCAUCCUUAUUUCUGCCCUAUCAACUGUCGACUGUGAUAUAGACGCUCACAGUGGUUUUGACGGGUAACGGGGAAUCAGGGUUCGAUUCCGGAGAGGGAGCCUUAAAAACGGCUACCACAUCCAAGGAAGGCAGCAGG
This 384-nucleotide ribosomal RNA is filed under the name uncultured Cryptomonas. Its description in RNAcentral is "partial small subunit ribosomal RNA". It matches the Rfam family "Eukaryotic small subunit ribosomal RNA", at positions 30 to 432 of the family's 1831-position model. Lineage: Eukaryota; Cryptophyceae; Cryptomonadales; Cryptomonadaceae. The record is from RNAcentral.